This 158-nucleotide ribosomal RNA is filed under the name Eyprepocnemis plorans. RNAcentral describes it as "5.8S ribosomal RNA". It matches the Rfam family "5.8S ribosomal RNA". From Rfam's summary of the family: 5.8S ribosomal RNA (5.8S rRNA) is a component of the large subunit of the eukaryotic ribosome. The record is from RNAcentral. Lineage: Eukaryota; Metazoa; Arthropoda; Insecta; Orthoptera; Acrididae.
CACCCAGGACGGUGGAUCACUCGGCUCGUGGGUCGAUGAAGAACGCAGCAAGUUGCGCGUCGACAUGUGAACUGCAGGACACAUGAACAUCGACGUUUCGAACGCACAUUGCGGUCCAUGGAUUCCGUUCCCGGGCCACGUCUGGCUGAGGGUCGGCU